RNAcentral lists this ribosomal RNA (229 nucleotides) under uncultured bacterium. Its description in RNAcentral is "partial 16S ribosomal RNA". It matches the Rfam family "Bacterial small subunit ribosomal RNA", at positions 568 to 796 of the family's 1533-position model. The record is from RNAcentral.
UGCGUAGGCGGGCUAAUAAGUCAGUGGUGAAAUCUCUCGGCUCAACCGGGAAACUGCCAUUGAUACUGUUAGUCUUGAGUUCGGUUGAGGUAGGCGGAAUGUGUAAUCUAGCGGUGAAAUGCUUAGAUAUUACACAGAACACCAAUUGCGUAGGCAGCUUACUAGACCGACACUGACGCUGAGGCACGAAAGCGUGGGGAGCGAACAGGAUUAGAUACCCUGGUAGUCC